GUGAGUAACACGUGAGCAACCUGCCCCUGACUCUGGGAUAAGCGCUGGAAACGGUGUCUAAUACUGGAUAUGUGCCACGGCCGCAUGGUCUGUGGUUGGAAAGAUUUUUCGGUUGGGGAUGGGCUCGCGGCCUAUCAGCUUGUUGGUGAGGUAAUGGCUCACCAAGGCGUCGACGGGUAGCCGGCCUGAGAGGGUGACCGGCCACACUGGGACUGAGACACGGCCCAGACUCCUACGGGAGGCAGCAGUGGGGAAUAUUGCACAAUGGGCGGAAGCCUGAUGCAGCAACGCCGCGUGAGGGAUGACGGCCUUCGGGUUGUAAACCUCUUUUAGCAGGGAAGAAGCGAAAGUGACGGUACCUGCAGAAAAAGCACCGGCUAACUACGUGCCAGCAGCCGCGGUAAUACGUAGGGUGCAAGCGUUAUCCGGAAUUAUUGGGCGUAAAGAGCUCGUAGGCGGUUUGUCGCGUCUGCCGUGAAAUCCUCAGGCUCAACCUGAGGCUUGCGGUGGGUACGGGCAGACUUGAGUGCGGUAGGGGAGAUUGGAAUUCCUGGUGUAGCGGUGGAAUGCGCAGAUAUCAGGAGGAACACCGAUGGCGAAGGCAGAUCUCUGGGCCGUAACUGACGCUGAGGAGCGAAAGGGUGGGGAGCAAACAGGCUUAGAUACCCUGGUAGUCCACCCCGUAAACGUUGGGAACUAGUUGUGGGGUCCUUUCCACGGAUUCCGUGACGCAGCUAACGCAUUAAGUUCCCCGCCUGGGGAGUACGGCCGCAAGGCUAAAACUCAAAGGAAUUGACGGGGACCCGCACAAGCGGCGGAGCAUGCGGAUUAAUUCGAUGCAACGCGAAGAACCUUACCAAGGCUUGACAUACACGAGAACGGGCCAGAAAUGGUCAACUCUUUGGACACUCGUGAACAGGUGGUGCAUGGUUGUCGUCAGCUCGUGUCGUGAGAUGUUGGGUUAAGUCCCGCAACGAGCGCAACCCUCGUUCUAUGUUGCCAGCACGUUAUGGUGGGAACUCAUGGGAUACUGCCGGGGUCAACUCGGAGGAAGGUGGGGAUGACGUCAAAUCAUCAUGCCCCUUAUGUCUUGGGCUUCACGCAUGCUACAAUGGCCGGUACAAUGGGCUGCGAUACCGUGAGGUGGAGCGAAUCCCAAAAAGCCGGUCCCAGUUCGGAUCGUAGUCUGCAACUCGACUACGUGAAGUCGGAGUCGCUAGUAAUCGCAGAUCAGCAACGCUGCGGUGAAUACGUUCCCGGGUCUUGUACACACCGCCCGUCAAGUCAUGAAAG
This 1293-nucleotide ribosomal RNA is filed under the name Microbacterium sp. A.c5. Its description in RNAcentral is "bacterial SSU rRNA". It matches the Rfam family "Bacterial small subunit ribosomal RNA", at positions 106 to 1410 of the family's 1533-position model. Lineage: Bacteria; Bacillati; Actinomycetota; Actinomycetes; Micrococcales; Microbacteriaceae. The record is from RNAcentral. RNAcentral also lists the same sequence under 1 other name.